CUACGGGAUGCUCCAGUGAGGAAUAUUGGGCAAUGGGCGCAAGCCUGACCCAGCCAUGCCGCGUGAAGGAUGAAUGCCCUACGGGUUGUAAACUUCUUUUGUACGGGACGAAACUUCCGAUCGUGAUCGGAACUGACUGUACCGUUCGAAUAAGCAUCGGCUAACUCCGUGCCAGCAGCCGCGGUAAUACGGAGGAUGCAAGCGUUAUCCGGAUUCAUUGGGUUUAAAGGGUGCGUAGGCGGAAUAGUAAGUCGGUGGUGAAAGCCUGCGGCUUAACCGUAGAAUUGCCAUUGAUACUGUUAUUCUUGAGUAUAGUUGAGGUGGGCGGAAUGUGUAAUGUAGCGGUGAAAUGCUUAGAUAUUACACAGAACACCAAUUGCGAAGGCAGCUCACUAAACUAUCACUGACGCUGAGGCACGAAAGCGUGGGGAGCAAACAGGAUUAGAUACCCCCGUAGUC
This 459-nucleotide ribosomal RNA is filed under the name uncultured bacterium. RNAcentral's name for it is "partial 16S ribosomal RNA". It matches the Rfam family "Bacterial small subunit ribosomal RNA", at positions 339 to 795 of the family's 1533-position model. The record is from RNAcentral.